UGGAGAAUAGCCCUUGGAAACGAGGAUUAAUACUCCAUGGUAUCAUUCUUUCGCAUGUUAGAAUGAUUAAAGAAUUUCGGUAUGAGAUGGGCAUGCGUCCCAUUAGCUAGUUGGUGAGGUAACGGCUCACCAAGGCGACGAUGGGUAGGGGGCCUGAGAGGGUGGUCCCCCACACUGGUACUGAGACACGGACCAGACUCCUACGGGAGGCAGCAGUGAGGAAUAUUGGUCAAUGGAGGCAACUCUGAACCAGCCAUGCCGCGUGAAGGAUGACGGCCCUAUGGGUUGUAAACUUCUUUUAUAUGGGAAGAAACUUAUCUACGUGUAGAUAACUGACGGUACCAUACGAAUAAGGAUCGGCUAACUCCGUGCCAGCAGCCGCGGUAAUACGGAGGAUCCAAGCGUUAUCCGGAUUCAUUGGGUUUAAAGGGUCCGUAGGCGGAUUUUUAAGUCAGUGGUGAAAGCCGGCAGCUCAACUGUCGAACUGCCAUUGAUACUGGAAAUCUUGAGUACAAAUGAAGUAGGCGGAAUGAGUCAUGUAGCGGUGAAAUGCAUAGAUAUGACUCAGAACACCGAUUGCGAAGGCAGCUUACUAACAUGUAACUGACGCUGAGGGACGAAAGCGUGGGGAGCGAACAGGAUUAGAUACCCUGGUAGUCCACGCCGUAAACGAUCAUCACUCGCUGUUGGCGAUAUACUGUCAGCGGCCAAGCGAAAGUAUUAAGUGAUGCACCUGGGGAGUACGCCGGCAACGGUGAAACUCAAAGGAAUUGACGGGGGCCCGCACAAGCGGUGGAGCAUGUGGUUUAAUUCGAUGAUACGCGAGGAACCUUACCAGGGCUUAAAUGUAGUAUGACCGGUCUGGAAACAGACCUUCCCUUCGGGGCAGAUUACAAGGUGCU
Molecule: ribosomal RNA, 902 nt
Filed under: uncultured bacterium
Lineage: Bacteria
Description: bacterial SSU rRNA
Rfam family: Bacterial small subunit ribosomal RNA
Source: RNAcentral